AUUGAACGCUGGCGGCAGGCCUAACACCUGCAAGUCUAACGAGUGGCGGACGGGUGAGUAAUGUCUGGGAACCUGCCUGAUGGAGGGGACUAACUACUGGAAACGGUAGCUAAUACCGCAUACCAUCGGAUGUUCCCAGAUGGGAUUAUCUAGUAGGUGGGGUAACGUCUAACCUAGGCGACGAUCCAUAGCUGGUCUGAGAGGAUGACCAGCCACAAUGGAACUGAGACACGGUCCAGACUCCUACGGGAGGCAGAAAUGGGGAAUAUUGCACAAUGGGCGCAAGCCUGAUGCAGCCAUGCCGCGUGUAUGAAGAAGGCCUUCGGGUUGUAAAGUACUUUCAGCGGGGAGGCGUUACCCGCAGAAGAAGCACCGGCUAACUCCGUGCCAGCCGCCGCGGUAAUAC
This 406-nucleotide ribosomal RNA is filed under the name uncultured bacterium. RNAcentral's name for it is "partial 16S ribosomal RNA". It matches the Rfam family "Bacterial small subunit ribosomal RNA", at positions 30 to 526 of the family's 1533-position model. The record is from RNAcentral.